AACGUAGGACACGAGCGUUAUCCGGAGUUAUUGGGCGUAAAGAGCUCGUAGGCGGUUUGUCGCGUCUGCCGUGAAAGUCCGGGGCUCAACUCCGGAUCUGCGGUGGGUACGGGCAGACUAGAGGUAUGCAGGGGAGAACGGAAUUCCUGGUGUAGCGGUGAAAUGCGCAGAUAUCAGGAGGAACACCGGUGGCGAAGGCGGUUCUCUGGGCAUUACCUGACGCUGAGGAGCGAAAGUGUGGGGAGCGAACAGG
This 253-nucleotide ribosomal RNA is filed under the name uncultured bacterium. RNAcentral's name for it is "partial 16S ribosomal RNA". It matches the Rfam family "Bacterial small subunit ribosomal RNA", at positions 524 to 776 of the family's 1533-position model. The record is from RNAcentral.